UUUUCGAUUACUCAGGAAGAAGGUAAACUUUAGCUUGAGAUGGUCAAUUAUCUUCAUAGCUCUAGACGGGAACGGCUCCGUCAUAGGAGCCUAAUGGGCCAGAAAAAAUCGACCAUGGCGGAUGAUUCAGUUCGAUUUCAGAGCCAGUCUCUUCACACAGCACCGUCUUCAGCUGCUCGGAUGUCUAGAAGACAGCCAAUCAAGCUGGACCCGUUGGAGCUGCAGCCAGUCAAACAAACAGCAGACAGACUCCGCGCCGACAGUUCACAUACGGGCUGACGGCACAUCUAACCUUCGGGAUGAUUUACAAAUUUUUUCUGAUAACGAGCCGGAAGAAAAUAGAGGGAAACAGAUUGCUGCAAGAGAAGGCGUGGGCGCGGUUGGUAACUCUUGAAAUUUGUGUCGUGAGGAGAAUGAGCCUGUACAGCAACGUUUACCUGGUAGCAGAUGAUGAGCAGCUGGCGAGAAUUUUGCAAGAAGAGUUUGAUCUAGAGGCGAGUCAUAUGCGGGAACAGAAUGUUGUUACUCAGGUUGGAGAAACUAUGCCACAACAUGGAAUUAGGAUAAUUCAGGAUUCUCAGAGACGUUAAGUCGCAGUAAUGAAUAAUUUGCAGUCUACACCUUUGUCAGAUCGUGCUAAGGCGAGUAAUGGUCUACACAUAGAAUCAGAGCAUCAUCGCAUGAGAGAACAUCUACACUUGGACUUGCUCAACGUAUACUCUCCACAGCAAGUGAGAAAGACACAAGGAACAACAGACACGUCAACAGAAUUGUCUCUAGAUGAAAUAACUACAG
Long non-coding RNA from Corticium candelabrum, 795 nucleotides. RefSeq lists it as uncharacterized. The record is from RefSeq and is a predicted model, not a curated record. Lineage: Eukaryota; Metazoa; Porifera; Homoscleromorpha; Homosclerophorida; Plakinidae. The transcript is spliced from 6 exons.